This 479-nucleotide ribosomal RNA is filed under the name uncultured bacterium. RNAcentral describes it as "SSU rRNA". It matches the Rfam family "Bacterial small subunit ribosomal RNA", at positions 26 to 523 of the family's 1533-position model. The record is from RNAcentral.
AGGACGAACGCUGGCGGCGUGCUUAACACAUGCAAGUCGAGCGGAAAGGCCCUUCGGGGUACUCGAGCGGCGAACGGGUGAGUAACACGUGAGUAAUCUGCCCCUAGCUCUGGGAUAGCUCCGGGAAGCCGGGAUUAAUACCAGAUACGACCACUUUAGACAUCUUCUGUGGUGGAAAGAACUUCGGCUAGGGAUGAACUCGCGGCCUAUCAGCUUGUUGGUGAGGUAACGGCUCACCAAGGCGACGACGGGUAGCCGGCCUGAGAGGGCGAUCGGCCACACUGGGACUGAGACACGGCCCAGACUCCUACGGGAGGCAGCAGUGGGGAAUAUUGCGCAAUGGGCGAAAGCCUGACGCAGCGACGCCGCGUGAGGGAUGAAGGCCUUCGGGUUGUAAACCUCUUUCAGCAGGGACGAAGCGAAAGUGACGGUACCUGCAGAAGAAGCACCGGCCAACUACGUGCCAGCAGCCGCGGUAA